AGCGAACGCUGGCGGCAGGCCUAAUACAUGCAAGUCGAACGAACCUUUCGGGGAUAGUGGCGGACGGGUGAGUAACACGUGGGAACGUGCCUUUAGGCUCCGAAUAACUCAGGGAAACUUGCGCUAAUACCGAAUGUGCCCUUCGGGGGAAAGAUUUAUCGCCCCUAGAGCGGCCCGCGUCUGAUUAGCUAGUUGGUUGAGGUAACGGCACACCCAGGCGACGACCAGUAGCCGGACUGGGAGGAUGAUCAGCCACAUUUGGACUGAGGCACGGCCCAAACUCCUACAGGAGGAAGCAGUGAAGAAUCUUGCGCAAUGCGCGAAAGACUGACACAGCCAUGCCGCGUGAAUGAUGCGAGGCUGAGGAUGGUGAAUUUCUUUCACCGGGGAAGAUAGUGACGGUACCCGAAGAAGAAGCCCCGGCUAACUACGUG
This 434-nucleotide ribosomal RNA is filed under the name uncultured bacterium. Its description in RNAcentral is "partial 16S ribosomal RNA". It matches the Rfam family "Bacterial small subunit ribosomal RNA", at positions 29 to 507 of the family's 1533-position model. The record is from RNAcentral.